GUGCUCACUUCGGCAGCACAUAUACUAAAAUUGGAACGAUACAGAGAAGAUUAGCAUGGCCCCUGCACAAGGAUGACAUGCAAAUUCGUGAAGCAUUCCAUAUUUAU
Molecule: small nuclear RNA, 107 nt
Filed under: Myotis brandtii (Brandt's bat)
Lineage: Eukaryota; Metazoa; Chordata; Mammalia; Chiroptera; Vespertilionidae
Source: RNAcentral